UGGGGAAUCUUAGACAAUGGGCGCAAGCCUGAUCUAGCCAUGCCGCGUGAGUGACGAAGGCCUUAGGGUCGUAAAGCUCUUUCGCCAGGGAUGAUAAUGACAGUACCUGGUAAAGAAACCCCGGCUAACUCCGUGCCAGCAGCCGCGGUAAUACGGAGGGGGUUAGCGUUGUUCGGAAUUACUGGGCGUAAAGCGCACGUAGGCGGAUUGGAAAGUAGGGGGUGAAAUCCCGGGGCUCAACCCCGGAACUGCCUCCUAAACUAUCAGUCUAGAGUUCGAGAGAGGUGAGUGGAAUUCCAAGUGUAGAGGUGAAAUUCGUAGAUAUUUGGAGGAACACCAGUGGCGAAGGCGGCUCACUGGCUCGAUACUGACGCUGAGGUGCGAAAGUGUGGGGAGCAAACA
RNAcentral lists this ribosomal RNA (402 nucleotides) under uncultured bacterium. Its description in RNAcentral is "bacterial SSU rRNA". It matches the Rfam family "Bacterial small subunit ribosomal RNA", at positions 355 to 774 of the family's 1533-position model. The record is from RNAcentral.